UAUUUUUAUUUGUUGACUACUUUGUGUGAAAAAUGUGGUAUUUUCCUAGUACUCCGAGUGGAAUAAAAUAGUGUGUAAUGAGUGUAAUAAAAAAUCACUACGAUUGUUCAAAUAAAUCCACUAAAUUACUACAUAAGUUGAAUAACUACAAAUCAUUACUUAACAUUUUGGCUUAUUCGCUUUUUUGUGGUAUUUUUGUACUUUUUUUUUAUAAAACAAAAUAUUAGUACCUAUAAUGUGAACAUCAACAUUUUAUCAAAAACAGGUCCAGUACAUUGCAAUGGAAAAUUUAAGGCCAUACAACUACAUGUUAUGGCUUUAAAUUUUGUUUUAUUAACUGUUUUGUAUGAAAAUUAUAAUAUUUUUGUAGCUUUUCGAGUAAGAUAAAUUAAGUGUGUCAUGGAAACAUCACUGUUACUCAUCAAGAACGUCCAAUACAAUUUCAAGAAUAAUUUGAAGAUAAAAUACUACUUUGCAUUGUAAGCCAUCAUUGUUGUUAACCACUUUGAAUGAAAAAUGUGGUACUUUCGUUGAUUUUUGAGUGAAUCAAAAUUUGAGUGUAAUGAAAACAUCACUAUUAUUCUUCAAGUAUGUCCCCCAAACUGCUACGAACAUUUCAAGGCUAGAAAACUUCAUGUUAUCGUUUUAAAUUUAGUUUUGUUGACUACUUUGUGUAAAAAGUAUGGAAUUUUCGUAGUUUUCCGGGUAAAACAAAAUAAGAGUGUAAUUAGAACAUUUUCAUUGUUCAUCAAAAAUGUCGAGUACAAUUCUACGAACAAUUGGGUUUUUAAAUUUUGAAAAAUAUAUUGUUUUUUUGAUUUUAUACGAAAGAGCACCUUUUUCUGAGCCACUAUGAUUUUUUUCAGAUUUUUAGAACCUUAUUUUGGUACCUAAAAUCUAUUCCCAAGAAAUUUUUUGAAAUCACCUUUUGACAGCUGGGCAACUGUUUGACAGUUCCGCCCAGUACAAACUGCGACGAGGGGUGAUUCGACAAAUCGCUCCCAUACAAACUUCAAAUUGAUUUUUAAAUAGGUUCCCGGGCUCCAAAAUUCAUGAAAAUUUGGAUUUCGGCUCAGUUUGACAUGCAGAUUCAGAAUAUCGAAUUAUCUCAACACCGUUAAAGAAGCCAAUUUAAGACCAAAAAAACUAUAUGUGAACGCUUUGAAUUUUGAUUUAUUGCUUAUUUUAUGUGAAAAAUAGGGUAUUUUAGCAGUUUUUUGAGUAAGGUAAAUUAUCAGUGUACUGAAAAAUCACUAAUUUUGCAUAAACAUGUUCAUUCCAGCUGUACGCAUGAUUUAGAGUCGAAAAAAACAUAUGUCAUCGCUUUAAAUUUUGUUUUAUUGAUCAAUGUGCGAAAAAAAUGCACUCUCUAAAAAAACUAGGAAGUGCCUUUUGCUUAAUAACUUUAGGUAGACGUAUCUAUUUUAUAUUUUUUUAAAUGGACGAUGAUCUUGAAACCUGUCCGGUUCCAUCGCAAAAAAAAAGUUUUAAAAUCGGUUGAAACACGGCCGAGAAAUGCCUUGUCAAAGUUGGACUUCCGACUUUUUUUGGACCCUUGGUAGUUCGCGGGAGUUUUUACCCCCUCGGUAGUUUACACUGCGAAUCCGGCAUUACGCUUUAAGGAGUAAAAAGUACCCUUUUUUUGCUGGUAUAUGAAACUGUCAAGAUAAAGGGUACUUGUCGAAUUUUUAAAAUGGGUAAUUUUUGCCCUUCUUAGAAUUCCUACCGAGUACUCUUCAAAGAGUGAAAAUGUUGUUGAAGUUUUUCGAGGUGCAUCCAAGAGUGAUGUUUUUCAUUUUGCUGAUUUUUGCGGGUAAGUAAAACUAAAUAUUUAACUAAUAUUCAAUAAGUAAGAAACUGAUUAGUGAAUUAUUUAUUUCAUUAGGAUGUCAGAGGCCGCGAGCAUGGUUCUGCUCGGUUCUGCCCUCCACCUGGAUCAAAGUUGGAUCUGCAGGCUUCCUCCAAUCAGUUGCGGUAUAAAGGUCCGUGGUCCGACUUGCAAAACCCAUAGGAAUAAUGUUAGUAUUAUAAUUAAUAAAUAUUUCGCAUGAACAAUCUUGUGUUGCUUAUUUAUUAUUAAUUUGUUGUAUUAAUAAUCACUAAGUCCCCAUAAAAUAAUAAAUAGGGUACAUUUUACUCUUUUCAUAAUUUCAAAUCAUUCCAGAAAAAGGGUAAAAAUCACUCGUUGAUUUGACGUACAAGCGGUUUACCCUUUUGAGAGUAAAAGCCGUUUACUCUUUUUAUGAGUUCACCUAGUUACUCUCGAAAAGGGUACUUUUUUACUCUUUAAAGAGUACUUUGAUCUCUCAGUGUAAGCAACGAUAACGAUAUACAACUAGCAUAUUUUUCGGUGACCACGGCAUCAUCUGUGGCCGGCAUAUGGGGCUUUUCGUUUGUUAGCCUCAUUUAUGUCCGACCCCUUAGUUUGACAGAAGUCAAUGUCAAAGUGACAAUCCAAUUCUUGUUUUGUUUUAGCGCGACGCGAUCGAUUUUUUUUUUAUAAAACGGGCCAGUCAGUACCCGUUAAUCGAGAUUUCUAGAUUCUAUAAAGGAAUUUUGACUCUCCCCGGAACGAAUAGGGCAUCUUGAUGCUGAAUCAGCAUUGCUGAUGACAUCUCUCAGCACACCCAACCAAACGUUUCCAAAGUUUUCGAAGGCAAUGUGGAUUAAUAUACCGGCAGAAGGAGUUUGGCUAAAUGGAAUAAGGACUAGCUGUACGCCAGCGCUAUGUCCGGCUCCAGAGGAAUCAUUGAAAUGGAGCUGCAUGCUUGAAAAUACAAAUGCAAAAUUACACGAGAUGAUGUGGAUGCUGUGGUGAAACGGAUGCCAUCGGGAAUCUCGGCCAGAAGAAACAGGAAUGAGUAGUGCUGGUGCUGGUAUCGGAACCAAAGAUAAAUACUCGUUGUCAACGCAAGUUGUAACACUUCCGGGAUAGGAGAACUCCGACUCGCAGAAAAAAUGGGUUCCAUCCGAAACGAUGCGGCUAUCUCUAUGUUGAUGACACUCAUAGCGCAUCCAGAACAUCACCAGGCCUUUGGGAGGAAAUGGGAGCCAAAAUAUAGCCAAUCAAAAUGGCUCAGAUGUCGGCAGCUGCCAGCCAAAAAGUGGAAUAUAACGCGUCGGCGGAAGCAAAAUGAGUACCCUGCAUUUCCACUAUAAAUUUUCAAAUAUAAUAUAUUAUAAAAU
This is a long non-coding RNA of Aedes albopictus (Asian tiger mosquito), 3186 nucleotides long. RefSeq lists it as uncharacterized. The record is from RefSeq and is a predicted model, not a curated record. Lineage: Eukaryota; Metazoa; Arthropoda; Insecta; Diptera; Culicidae. The transcript has 2 exons.